Molecule: transfer RNA, 69 nt
Filed under: Channa lucius
Lineage: Eukaryota; Metazoa; Chordata; Actinopteri; Anabantiformes; Channidae
Description: tRNA-Tyr
Source: RNAcentral
UGAUAGGAAGAGGAAUUAAACCUCUGUCUAUGGGGCUACAACCCACCGCUUGAACUCGGCCAUCCUACC